This is a long non-coding RNA of Balaenoptera acutorostrata (minke whale), 1817 nucleotides long. RefSeq lists it as uncharacterized. The record is from RefSeq and is a predicted model, not a curated record. NCBI's taxonomy places the organism in Eukaryota, Metazoa, Chordata, Mammalia, Artiodactyla, Balaenopteridae. The transcript has 3 exons.
UCGGCUGCCUCCCCUUUUCCUCCAGUAGGCGAGAUACUAUACGGACACACUUAACUGUGGGCAUCAUCCCUGCAUGUGCUUCAAUCUGGUCACGCUUUGAAAGAGACAUUUCAGAAUAUAUAGGUAUGAGAGUUGGAUUUUCUCAUAUUCAAGAAGAGACUGAGAACCCCUUCAUUAGUCUGAGAUUUGAUUUAUCAUUCUCGAUACCUAGCUCAGAGAUUGGCAUGUGGUAAAUCUUCACCGAUUGGUGACUGAAUCACAGAAUUACUGAAGUUAAAACCAAGUAUGUUACAGAUCUAUCAUGAUGGAAACAAAUCAGUGGUUGACGAGAUUGGGGUAAGGGAUUGACUACAAAGGAGAAACCUGAGUUUUCAAGGGGAAAAUAGCACUUUACGUGUUGAACCCUGGCAGGCACCGCCUUAACCAAGUGAUCAGCGUUACUGACAUUGAUACUGUGUACUCUCUGCUGUGAUGGACUGAGGGCACACCACCACAGAGUUCCCGCCUUCUGUCUAAUCGUGAGAAGAUAUCAUGCAAAUCCAAGUUGAUUGACAUUCUACAAAAUACCUGAACAAUACUUCUCUAAGGUGCCAAGUUUGAAAGACAAGGAGAGAAGAACCAUCACAGAUGGGAGGAGAAUUGGGACACAUGCCAGUUAAAUGCUGUGUGCGAUCCUGGAUUGGAUCCUGAAACAGAUAGCCUGGAGGAAUCUGAUUAAAGCCUGUAGUUUAAUUAAUAGGAUGGUACCAAUGUUAAUUUUUAUUUUCCUAAUUGUACCAUGGUUAUAUAAGAUGUUAACGUUAGGGGAAGCUGGGUGAAGACUACAUAGAAACUCUACGUUAUAAUCUUUGUAACUCUCCUGUAUGUCUCAAGUUUUAUCAAAGCAGGAAGUUUAAAAAAAAAAUCCUGCCAUUUAAAACUUUCUUCUUUUAAUCUUUUUAUAUUCAUGUAUAUUUUGUAAGCACUGCCCUCAUAGAUAGGUAUAGAUGUAGACACGCGUGUGUGUGCGCAUGCACACACACACGCAACAGCAGGGAGGUUCAUUUCUCUAUCAUUCUGUGUAGAUGGAAUAGUUUCUGAAGGAUUAUCAGAAGGUCUUUGCAUAGAAAUUUUAUAAUUCUUACACCAAGGCUGUCUAAAUUGUUGAAGUGCUUCUGUAUAACAUGGUGGAAUGCCAUGAGAGAGUAUAUCCUUAUAGCAAAUGUAUAAUAUAAAUGGUGAUUUUAUAUAAAGUUAACUAAUAUGGUGUUUUAGUUUGUUGGUUAGAUGGUCAUAUCAUAGAAAUACAGAGUAGAAUUGACUUUUUAAUUAUAGCAAAAUUUUAAGCCUAGGCCUACUUCUAGAUGCAGUUUUGGUCCAUGUAUACUUAGUUAUCAGUUAGUAUCAAGAUAUUUAGAUUAGUUUUAACGUUCAUCUGAGUCAGUCAUAUUUGGUUGAAAAAAGAAGCUUUUAAUUGAAGGUAAACCAUGCAUAUUUAAAUUCUUUUUCUUUGACUUCCUGGGUUAGUAUUAAUUGCAACUUACUUUAAACAUAAUUUGAAAUAAUUAUGAACAAAUAAUUAUGUUAUGAUUUUGAAAAAGUAAGGUUUAAAGUACAUUAUAAUUUUAAGAGAGUAAGUGUUCAAUAUUCUUUAACGUUUUACUAUGUUGAGAAAAAUCAUUUGACUAUGUAAUUCUGUUUUUAUCUGGAGUCUAUGCCAUAAAAAUAUCAACCUCAGAGUUAAAAGACUUUAUAUGCUUGUUUGCUUUGACUUGAACAUGGGAUAUAUGCUGCUGUAAGAUGAGAGAUCUAUAAAAGUAGUAAAUAAUUAAGACUAA